This 165-nucleotide ribosomal RNA is filed under the name Acinetobacter baumannii ABNIH24. Its description in RNAcentral is "partial 23S ribosomal RNA". It matches the Rfam family "Bacterial large subunit ribosomal RNA", at positions 2776 to 2925 of the family's 2925-position model. Lineage: Bacteria; Pseudomonadati; Pseudomonadota; Gammaproteobacteria; Moraxellales; Moraxellaceae. The record is from RNAcentral.
AGCAUCUAAGCGGGAAGCCUACCUCAAGAUAAGAUUUCCCUAGGACUUUAUGUCCUCUAAAGAGCCGUUCGAGACUAGGACGUUGAUAGGUUGGAUGUGGAAGCAUAGUGAUAUGUGAAGCUGACCAAUACUAAUUGCUCGUGAGGCUUGACUAUACAACACCCA